CGCGAAUUCGCCCUUCGGGGUGCCCAGGCGCGAAAACUUUACAAUGCCGGCAACGGCGAUAAGGGAACCUCGAGUGCCAGGUUACAAAUCUGGCUGUCGUGAUGCCUAAAAAGCAUUGCAUAGCAAGGGCCGGGCAAGACCGGUGCCAGCCGCCGCGGUAACACCGGCGGCUCGAGUGGUAACCGUUAUUAUUGGGUCUAAAGGGUCUGUAGCCGGCCGGGUAAGUCUCUUGGGAAAUCUGGCAGCUUAACUGUCAGGCUUUCAGGAGAUACUGCCUGGCUCGAGGCCGGGAGAGGUGAGAGGUACUUCAGGGGUAGGGGUGAAAUCUUGUAAUCCUUGAAGGACCACCAGUGGCGAAGGCGUCUCACCAGAACGGACCUGACGGCAAGGGACGAAAGCUAGGGGCACGAACCGGAUUAGAUACCCGGGUAGUCCUAGCCGUAAACGAUACUCGCUAGGUGUCGGCCACGGUGCGACCGUGGUCGGUGCCGUAGGGAAGCCGUGAAGCGAGCCACCUGGGAAGUACGGCCGCAAGGCUGAAACUUAAAGGAAUUGGCGGGGGAGCAC
RNAcentral lists this ribosomal RNA (567 nucleotides) under uncultured archaeon. RNAcentral's name for it is "bacterial SSU rRNA". It matches the Rfam family "Archaeal small subunit ribosomal RNA", at positions 311 to 879 of the family's 1478-position model. The record is from RNAcentral.